Molecule: ribosomal RNA, 253 nt
Filed under: uncultured bacterium
Lineage: Bacteria
Description: partial 16S ribosomal RNA
Rfam family: Bacterial small subunit ribosomal RNA
Source: RNAcentral
UACGAAGGGAGCUAGCGUUGUUCGGAAUCACUGGGCGUAAAGCGCACGUAGGCGGAUUUGUCAGUCAGGGGUGAAAUCCCGGGGCUCAACCUCGGAACUGCCUUUGUGACUGCAAGGCUUGAGUGCGGCAGAGGGGGAUGGAAUUCCGCGUGUAGCAGUGAAAUGCGUAGAUAUGCGGAGGAACACCGAUGGCGAAGGCAAUCCCCUGGGCCUGCACUGACGCUCAUGCACGAAAGCGUGGGGAGCAAACAGG